Molecule: transfer RNA, 71 nt
Filed under: Phascolarctobacterium succinatutens YIT 12067
Lineage: Bacteria; Bacillati; Bacillota; Negativicutes; Acidaminococcales; Acidaminococcaceae
Description: Phascolarctobacterium sp. YIT 12067 tRNA
Rfam family: tRNA
About the family: Transfer RNA (tRNA) molecules are approximately 80 nucleotides in length. Their secondary structure includes four short double-helical elements and three loops (D, anti-codon, and T loops).
Source: Rfam by way of RNAcentral
UCCGGGAUGGUGUAAUGGUAGCACAAGUGACUCUGGAUCAUUCGGUCUGGGUUCGAGUCCUAGUCCCGGAG